Molecule: ribosomal RNA, 756 nt
Filed under: uncultured Sebacina
Lineage: Eukaryota; Fungi; Basidiomycota; Agaricomycetes; Sebacinales; Sebacinaceae
Description: partial 28S ribosomal RNA
Rfam family: Eukaryotic large subunit ribosomal RNA
Source: RNAcentral
GAAUCCCGUAUAUGGCACGGACUCCCGUUGCUCUGUGAUACACUCUCGACGAGUCGAGUUGUUUGGGAAUGCAGCUCUAAAUGGGUGGUAAAUGCCAUCUAAAGCUAAAUAUUGGCGAGAGACCGAUAGCGAACAAGUACCGUGAGGGAAAGAUGAAAAGCACUUUGGAAAGAGAGUGAAACAGUACGUGAAAUUGUUGAAAGGGAAACGCUUGAAGUCAGUCGCGCCGUUCGGGAUUCAGCCUUGCUUCUGCUCGGUUUACUUCCCGUUGGGUGGGUCAACAUCAGUUUCGGUCGGAGGAGAAAGACUUGGGGAAGGUGGCAGCAUUCGUGCUGUGUUAUAGCCCCGUGUUGUAUACUUCGACUGGGACUGAGGACCGCAGCACGCCUCUGGCCGGGGUUCGCCCACGUACGUGCUUAGGAUGUUGGCAUAAUGGCUUUAAGCGACCCGUCUUGAAACACGGACCAAGGAGUCUAACAUGUGCGCGAGUGUUUGGGUGUUAAACUCGGACGCGAAAUGAAAGUGAAAAGUUGGGAACACGUCUGUGUGCACCGACGCCCGGAGCUGACCUUCUGUGACGCAUCUGCGGUAGAGCGUAUAUGUUGGGACCCGAAAGAUGGUGAACUAUGCCUGAAUAGGGUGAAGCCAGAGGAAACUCUGGUGGAGGCUCGUAGCGAUUCUGACGUGCAAAUCGAUCGUCAAAUUUGGGUAUAGGGGCGAAAGACUAAUCGAACCAUCUAGUAGCUGGUUCCUGCC